Molecule: long non-coding RNA, 374 nt
Filed under: Urocitellus parryii (Arctic ground squirrel)
Lineage: Eukaryota; Metazoa; Chordata; Mammalia; Rodentia; Sciuridae
Description: lncRNA (ENSUPAG00010022172.1)
Source: RNAcentral
GUACUUCGGACCCGACGGCCUAGUCCGGGCGUGGUUAAGAACAAAAAAGAUGCACCUGGACUUUCCCCAGAGCCUUCUACGUUUCUAAGCGUCGGUGGAAUUUGAGUUCUCUGGCUGCGAGCCGCGCUUACUUGAUGAAAGAAAUCAGCCCUACCUUCCUCAGUGGACAAUUUGUUACCGACUUUAAGUGUCUCCCACUGAAGGCAUCCAUCUUUCCUUGAGGUAAGAAAAGUCUUUUUUUUUUUUUUUUCAGUUACAUUUCAUUUGUUAAACAGAAAGUGUUUUUCUUAGAAGUUUAAAGUAUUUUCUGCCACUACUUUAAAUCUAACUUUGAACAGGACUCCACUAUUUUCAACUGAGUUUUAGUUAAUGAA